ACAAUUAUCUAGAAAGAUGAAGCUGUUAUCUUCAAGAAAACAGGUGUUUAUAAUUAUCUUUAUAUUUUACGACUUCAUUUAUAAAAACAGAAAUUAAAUCUAUAGGCUUUUUAAAAAAUGAUCUUUCCUUAGAAGUAGCACUGCUUUGGAUUUAGACUUCUUUUCCUUGUUUUCACAAAAUCUAGGAUUGUUUUAUAAAUUUCUUUUCUAACAUACAUAUAGGGCUACUAAAAAUAUUAACUAAAAAUAACAAAUAAGAACUAUGUUUUAAUCAUCUGAUGGGAAAACUGUCAGACAAAAAUACUAUUUAUAAAAAUUUCAUCACUAUUAAGUUUUUAAAUUUAUUUUAAAUUUUUCUAAACAAUAAUAAUUUAAUGAUUUAAAUAAGUUAAUUCUAUUCUAAGGUAUAAAGAACUAAUCUGAUUUUUCAUCAACUUUUUAUCAUAAAACAUAUUCAUAAAAACC
This 465-nucleotide long non-coding RNA is filed under the name Homo sapiens (human). RNAcentral's name for it is "non-protein coding lnc-ETNK1-11:1". Lineage: Eukaryota; Metazoa; Chordata; Mammalia; Primates; Hominidae. The record is from RNAcentral.